AUGACGUGCAAGCAAUGGCGGCGCAUUGUAACCAAGGCUUCCUUUCUUCGCCGAUGCUGCUGGCCGGACCACGAGACGGCGUCGUUCCUCCCUGGUUUCCUCCUCUGGGAAAAAAAUGUCAUCAAGGAUGACCCUACCUUUGUGACACGCUUCGUCCCCGUGCCAGGGUCCAUGUUUGGUUCGGACCGCUGCUAUCUAGAGUCGUUUUUUCCGAGAGCAGCAACAAGUGAUACAGGAGGACGUAAAAGAGGCCUGUUGCACAACACGGUGCCGCUCGUCACUCGCCAUGGCCUCCUCCUCGUACGCCUGGAUACACCCAUUGGAAAGGCAAAGGUUGCUUGGUCUCAUCUGUCCUGCUGGCUAUCUGCAAUUUGCUUUCGGGCGCAUGUGACAAGCUCCCUCUGUUAG
RNAcentral lists this ribosomal RNA (408 nucleotides) under Triticum aestivum (bread wheat). RNAcentral describes it as "partial small subunit ribosomal RNA". Lineage: Eukaryota; Viridiplantae; Streptophyta; Magnoliopsida; Poales; Poaceae. The record is from RNAcentral.